RNAcentral lists this long non-coding RNA (1519 nucleotides) under Homo sapiens (human). Its description in RNAcentral is "HSALNT0043660". The record is from RNAcentral. Lineage: Eukaryota; Metazoa; Chordata; Mammalia; Primates; Hominidae.
CUGCUAUUAAAGCAAAACAGGAGGAUAUAUACUUUAGCCAUGAAAUUAGCGCAUAAUGUUAUCUAGCCAGUUGAACUUGCAUUGCUUUAGGGAAAUAUUAGCACACGUUUUCCACAAGUGGAUGUAGGCAGGAAAGAUUUAUAUUAGACAUCAGGAAUAAUGUCCUGACUUUCAGAAGAGUUGUGAGAAGCCAAAUAGUUUACCAAAGAAGGCUGUGGAAUUUACCUCCUGGAAAUUUUUAGCAGCAGACAUGAGACCCAUAUGUUUGAGACUAUUUCGGAGUCUUUGAAAUGAAUAGAAUGGUCUUAUUAAGAGUUUCCUAGUCCUUUUCUUUUGUAGCUUGCCUGAGAAGAGGUUAGACAUUCAGUCCACAAAGCCAGGCUUCUCUCCGACCUUCCCCUAUACAUUUCCGAAGACAGAGAAGAGGAAAAAGGAGGUAGAGUCUGGUAUGAGGGCACCAGGGAACAUUUCCUUACUUCACAAUUUGGUGAACUGAGUAGAACUGCCUGACAUCACACAGAGGGUAAACUUCUGCCUAGGGCCAUGGAAAAAGGCAAGAAGGUCCCGUGACCAAGAAAUGACCAGCUCCACAGAGGAAAUGCAGGGCCACUCUCCGACUGGACCCCACUGUGCACAAGGACCUUGUUCAGUGCCUGGAACAAAGUAGGUAUUCAAGAUACCUUUCACUUAUUCCUCAUAUAUUUGCUGGGUGUGGUUAAGCCCAGUAAAGAAGACAAGUCAUGCCUUCCAGGAGCUUCUAGCUCAGGGGAGAAAGUGAUUGAAGACCCAGUGUUCUAAACUGGGUGUGGCACCACAGUGAUGGGAAGUAGGGGAAGCCAAGGGGAAGCUGACUGACUGGUGGGCUCAACCAAGGUUUCCCGAGGAAGAGGUCAUCCAAAACCAUUCUUGAAGCUUCAGUAAGAGCCAAGCAAAGAGGGUGGGGAAAGCCUCACAAAGCGAGAAGGAUCAGGAAUGCACAAAGGCCCUGAAAUUAGAGAUAAGCACAAAGCCUGUUUCCAAGGAUUACAAAUCACCUGGAGAUUACUGGAGGACAAGAGAAAGGGGAGAAACAGCAAGACAGAAGGUGGCAAGGUAUCCGCUGUGAAGUCUAGAAGGACUGUGUACACCAUGGUAAAGUAUUUCUCUAUCCUGAUCUUUCUGGGGAGGGUUUAUGCAGAGGAGAGGCAAGACAAGGCAUAUAUUUGAGAAAGAGGAUCAUUAGCUGAAUUGUGGAGAACAGACUCGAAGAGGAUGCUACUGGUUGCAGGGAACAGGAAAGAAAACCAAGGAAGCAAUCACUAAAGCCAGUGGGAGGGAGGGUCUUGCCAUUAGAGAAGAGAAGGCCAUUUUGUAUACACAGCUGACGCUUGAACAACACAGGUUUGAACUGUGAGAGUCCACUUAUAUUUGGAAUUUUUUCAAUAAAAGUUACAUGGAGUGUGCCUGCCUCUCCUGCCUCCUCUUCCACCCCCGCCACCCUUGAGACAGCAAAACCAACCAUUCCUCUUCCUCCUCUUCC